Molecule: ribosomal RNA, 253 nt
Filed under: uncultured bacterium
Lineage: Bacteria
Description: partial 16S ribosomal RNA
Rfam family: Bacterial small subunit ribosomal RNA
Source: RNAcentral
UACAGAGGGGGCAAGCGUUGUUCGGAAUUACUGGGCGUAAAGGGCGCGUAGGCGGCCCGCUAAGUCGAACGUGAAAUCCCCGAGCUCAACUCGGGAACUGCGUCCGAUACUGGCGGGCUUGAGUCCGGAAGAGGCGAGUGGAAUUCCCGGUGUAGCGGUGAAAUGCGCAGAUAUCGGGAGGAACACCAAUGGCGAAGGCAGCUCGCUGGGACGUGACUGACGCUGAGACGCGAAAGCGUGGGGAGCAAACAGG